RNAcentral lists this ribosomal RNA (523 nucleotides) under uncultured bacterium. RNAcentral's name for it is "partial 16S ribosomal RNA". It matches the Rfam family "Bacterial small subunit ribosomal RNA", at positions 355 to 892 of the family's 1533-position model. The record is from RNAcentral.
UGGGGAAUAUUGCACAAUGGGCGAAAGCCUGAUGCAGCAACGCCGCGUGAGUGAUGAAUGUCUUCGGAUUGUAAAGCUCUGUCUUUUGGGACGAUAAUGACGGUACCAAAGGAGGAAGCCACGGCUAACUACGUGCCAGCAGCCGCGGUAAUACGUAGGUGGCGAGCGUUGUCCGGAUUUACUGGGCGUAAAGGGUGCGUAGGCGGAUGUUUAAGUGAGAUGUGAAAUACCCGGGCUUAACUUGGGUGCUGCAUUUCAAACUGGAUAUCUAGAGUGCAGGAGAGGAGAAUGGAAUUCCUAGUGUAGCGGUGAAAUGCGUAGAGAUUAGGAAGAACACCAGUGGCGAAGGCGAUUCUCUGGACUGUAACUGACGCUGAGGCACGAAAGCGUGGGUAGCAAACAGGAUUAGAUACCCUGGUAGUCCACGCCGUAAACGAUGAGUACUAGGUGUAGGAGGUAUCGACCCCUUCUGUGCCGCAGUAAAACACAUUAAGUACUCCGCCUGGGGAAGUACGAUCGCAAG